CCUUGUACACACCGCCCGUCACACCACGAGAGUUUGUAACACCCGAAGUCGGUGGGGUAACCGCAAGGAGCCAGCUGCCUAAGGUGGGACAGAUGAUUGGGGUG
RNAcentral lists this ribosomal RNA (104 nucleotides) under uncultured bacterium. RNAcentral's name for it is "partial 16S ribosomal RNA". It matches the Rfam family "Bacterial small subunit ribosomal RNA", at positions 1379 to 1482 of the family's 1533-position model. The record is from RNAcentral.